GAUGAACGCUGGCGGCGUGCCUAAUACAUGCAAGUCGAGCGAACAGACGAGGAGCUUGCUCCUCUGACGUUAGCGGCGGACGGGUGAGUAACACGUGGAUAACCUACCUAUAAGACUGGGAUAACUUCGGGAAACCGGAGCUAAUACCGGAUAAUAUAUUGAACCGCAUGGUUCAAUAGUGAAAGACGGUUUUGCUGUCACUUAUAGAUGGAUCCGCGCCGCAUUAGCUAGUUGGUAAGGUAACGGCUUACCAAGGCAACGAUGCGUAGCCGAACUGAGAGGGUGAUCGGCCACACUGGAACUGAGACACGGUCCAGACUCCUACGGGAGGCAGCAGUAGGGAAUCUUACGCAAUGGGCGAAAGCCUGACGGAGCAACGCCGCGUGAGUGAUGAAGGUCUUCGGAUCGUAAAACUCUGUUAUUAGGGAAGAACAAAUGUGUAAGUAACUAUGCACGUCUUGACGGUACCUAAUCAGAAAGCCACGGCUAACUACGUG
RNAcentral lists this ribosomal RNA (497 nucleotides) under uncultured bacterium. RNAcentral describes it as "partial 16S ribosomal RNA". It matches the Rfam family "Bacterial small subunit ribosomal RNA", at positions 28 to 507 of the family's 1533-position model. The record is from RNAcentral.